UACAGAGGGGGCAAGCGUUGUUCGGAAUUACUGGGCGUAAAGGGCGCGUAGGCGGCCUGCUAAGUCGAACGUGAAAUCCCCAGGCUCAACCUGGGAACUGCAUCCGAUACUGGAUGGCUUGAAUUCGGGAGAGGGAUGCGGAAUUCCAGGUGUAGCGGUGAAAUGCGUAGAUAUCUGGAGGAAUACCGGUGGCGAAGGCGGCAUCCUGGACCGACAUUGACGCUGAGGAGCGAAAGCGAGGGGAGCAAACGGG
Molecule: ribosomal RNA, 253 nt
Filed under: uncultured bacterium
Lineage: Bacteria
Description: partial 16S ribosomal RNA
Rfam family: Bacterial small subunit ribosomal RNA
Source: RNAcentral